Molecule: long non-coding RNA, 1941 nt
Organism: Rhinopithecus bieti (black snub-nosed monkey)
Lineage: Eukaryota; Metazoa; Chordata; Mammalia; Primates; Cercopithecidae
Source: Ensembl
AUGUUAAGAGGCACAAAAGAUAGGACCCUGUAAGCCUUCCAGCAGCAUGCAGGCUGAAGAGAGACUGACAAAUAAAAAUUCAAUAGGAACAUGCAGGUUGAUCAAAAGUAAGUUAAUUACAGCUUACCAGAACUUUUACUAAUCUAUAUUGACAUCUAGGAGCCUUCCAAGAGAAAGUGUUCUUCAUGUUUGAAGAAGAUGGGGCCAUCGUUUGGCAGGAAAUAGGAAGGUCAAGCCAAGACAAAAGUAUCCACCGAAUGUCCCUCUGCACCAGCAUGUGGGGUGUUACAGCAGGCAGAGUCCCUGACGACCUCUACCUCCGGCCACCACCAUCCACACAGGAGCCUUUAUCAGAAGUGCCGUCUCCUGUGUUUACCCACCUUCUGGAUGUGUGUGCAGAGUGGUGCAAAGAGUUGGAAGCAUUGCUGAGGGAGUGCAAGUGGAAGGCCUCUUCUGGAAAUUCCCUCCCCGUGUUAGAUCUGGCAGAGCCACUGGGAGUCAGAGCAGCAGAGGGACCCGAGUGACACUAGGUGAGAAGCUGUGCGGACAGACGACUUGAGCCUGGUUGCUAUGACAGCCAGGAAUUUGCAAACCAAACCAGACCUGGAGAAGAAGUCUGUCCUUGGCCCAAAAAGUCUGCAGUUCCAAAUGGUUCUGCUCAAGGUUCUUGUUGUCUUAUUUGACACCUGCCAGAUGGAAGAACCUCUAAACCUGGGAUUUGGAAAUGUCCCAACAGAAAGGCUAUUUCCAAGCUGGCUGAAGCUGUGUUCAACGGAAUUGAGGUGUGAUAGAAGGAACUUCUUGGCAAGAAAAACUGGAAAAUAUUACAAUAGGUCCCAGAGAGAACCUCAUUAUCUUCUCGAAAAAAAUUUUAUAUUUGUUUAGUGUUCUGUGGUUUGCUAAGCACAUUCACAUAAAUUAUCUAAUUGGCUCUUCACAUCCGCCUGGUGAAGGAGUAAAAAUAGAUAUCAUAAUACUUGACCAAAGACAAGGAAAAUGAAGUUCAAUAAAAAUAAGAUCAAACAGCCAACAAGCAACAGAACUGAGAUUCGAAUCUGGGUUUUCCGACUGUAAAUGUAGCUCUUUUAAUUCUAUUAUGAUAAUUCCCCAAAAUAUAAAAGAGAUCACAUCUGAGCUGGACAGCUUAGAAAUAGGUAUUUUUCUAAAAUAAAGUGAUGUUGUAGAUAAUUUUUUUGUGGUAAAAUACACAUGAUGUAAAAUUUACCACUUUAAUCAUUUUUUUAAUUUUUGUUUUUGAGACGGAGUCACACUCUGUCGCCCAGGUUGGAGUGCAGUGGUGUAAUCUCAGCUCACUGCUACAUCCGCCUCCCAGGUUCAAGCAGUCCUCUGCCUCAGCCUCCCCAGUAGCUGGAAUUACAGGUACGCACCAGACCCUGCUAAUUUUUGUAUUUUUAGUAAGAUGGGGUUUCACCAUGUUGGCCAGGCUGGUCUCGAACUCCUGACCUCGUAAUCUGCCCGCCUCAGCCUCCCAAAGUGCUGGCAUUAUAGGUGUGAGCCACCAUACCCAGUCGCACUUUAAUCAUUUUUAAAUGUACAAUUGACAGGAAUCAAGUACAUUCAUUAUCGUGCAACUGUCACCACCAUCUCUCUAGAACUUCUUCAUCUUCUCAAACUGAAACUCUGUACUCUUUAAAUAAUAACUCCCCAAGUCCCUCCUCUCAGCCCCUGGAAACCAUCAUUCUACUCUAUGAAUUUGACCACUCUAGGUAACUCAUAUAAGUGGAAUUACACAGUAUUUGGCCUUUUGUGACUGGCUCAUGUCACUUAGUAUAACGUCUUCAAAGUUCAGCCAUGUUGUAGCGUGUAUCAGAAUUUUCUUCCUUUUUGAGGCUGAGAAUAUACAAUUGUAAAGAUAUACCACAUGUUGGCUAUUCAUCUAUCGGUAUAUGGCCACUUGGGGUUGCCUCCACCUUUUGGCUA